AUUGAACGCUGGCGGCAUGCUUUACACAUGCAAGUCGAACGGCAGCGCGGGCUUCUGCCUGGCGGCGAGUGGCCAACGGACGAGUAAUGCAUCGGAACGUGCCCAGCCGUUGGGGAUAGCCCGACGACAGCCGGAUUAAUAUCGCAUACGACCUGAGGGUGAAAGCGAGGGACCGAAAGGCCUCGCGCUAUUUGAUCGCCCGAGGUCGGGUUAGCUGGUUGGUGGGGUAAAGUCUUACCAAGGCGACGAUCCGUAGCGACACUGAGAGGCCGACCAGCCAAACGGAGCCUGAGCACCGGCCCAGCCCCCAACGGGAGGAGGCGGUGGGGAACUUCCGACAAUGGGGGCAACCUGGAUCAAGCCAGGCGGCGUGCGGAAAGAAGGCCUUCGAGUUGUAAACCGCUUUUGUAGGGAAAGAAAUCCUCUGAGCUAAUUCCGCACGGGAUGACGGUACCGAAAGAAUAAGCAACGGCUAACUACGUG
RNAcentral lists this ribosomal RNA (483 nucleotides) under uncultured bacterium. RNAcentral's name for it is "partial 16S ribosomal RNA". It matches the Rfam family "Bacterial small subunit ribosomal RNA", at positions 29 to 507 of the family's 1533-position model. The record is from RNAcentral.